RNAcentral lists this ribosomal RNA (459 nucleotides) under uncultured bacterium. RNAcentral describes it as "partial 16S ribosomal RNA". It matches the Rfam family "Bacterial small subunit ribosomal RNA", at positions 338 to 795 of the family's 1533-position model. The record is from RNAcentral.
CCUACGGGAGGCAGCAGUGAGGAAUAUUGGUCAAUGGUCGGGAGACUGAACCAGCCAAGCCGCGUGAGGGAGGAAGGUACAGAGUAUCGUAAACCUCUUUUGUCAGGGAACAAAGGCGGGGACGUGUCCCCGGAUGAGUGUACCCGAAGAAAAAGCAUCGGCUAACUCCGUGCCAGCAGCCGCGGUAAGACGGAGGAUGCGAGCGUUAUCCGGAUUUGUUGGGUUUAAAGGGUGCGCAGGCGGUCUGUUAAGUCAGCGGUCAAAGCCCGGGGCCCAACCCCGGGCCGCCGUUGAAACUGGCAGUCUCGAGUUGGAGAGAAGUAUGCGGAAUGCGCGGUGUAGCGGUGAAAUGCAUAGAUAUCGCGCAGAACUCCGAUUGCGAAGGCAGCAUGCCGGCUCCACACUGACGCUGAGGCACGAAAGCGUGGGUAUCGAACAGGAUUAGAUACCCCAGUAGUC